AGCAUAUUAAUAAGCGGAGGAAAAGAAACUAACAAGGAUUCCCUUAGUAACGGCGAGCGAAAAGGGAUAAGCCCAGCGCUGAAUCUUGUGUCCCCCGGAUGCAAAGACAUGUGGCGUUUGGGACGAGACAUUGCCUGUGCAGAAUGGUUAACUAAGUCCCUCUUGAACGGGGCCAUUGCCCAUGGAGGGUGCUAGGCCCGUAUGUUAACAAUAUUGUGCAGUGCGUCUCGUCCGUAGAGUCGGGUUGCUUGGGAGUGCAGCCCAAAUACGGUGGUAAACUCCAUCUAAGGCUAAAUAUGACCACGAGACCGAUAGCGAACAAGUACCGUGAGGGAAAGUUGAAAAGAACUUUGAAGAGAGAGUUCAAUAGUACGUGAAACCUCUCGGGGGUAAGCGGGCAGAACUUGCAAGUAUUGACAGGAAUAUUCAGGCUUAAUGUUUGGUGACUGAGGGUGCUCAUUAAGUUGCUCUUUCGGGGGUUGGCUGAUGUGUACUCUUUGCUUCAUUAACGAUGCGCCGCAUUUAUUUCUGUCAUCGGGUUGCAUGUGACUGAGAUUGGUAGUUUAGGUGCUGGGAAUCUGCGAAGCCUUGUUGUUUCGAGUCCUGGUUUCCAACUACUACUGCGGUCAUUUCACUUAUGAGCAGGCGUUUAGGCGCGGUCAAAAGUUUGUACGAGUUGUGUACGUAUGAUAUGUGGACGGGUAACCGUAGCAUGUUGUACGAGGCUGAUUGUCGGUAUGAGCUAUUUGGCACUGUUCAGUGGAUUGCAAUCU
This 773-nucleotide ribosomal RNA is filed under the name Vertagopus arboreus. RNAcentral describes it as "partial 28S ribosomal RNA". It matches the Rfam family "Eukaryotic large subunit ribosomal RNA", at positions 37 to 631 of the family's 3401-position model. Lineage: Eukaryota; Metazoa; Arthropoda; Collembola; Entomobryomorpha; Isotomidae. The record is from RNAcentral.